This 538-nucleotide long non-coding RNA is filed under the name Setaria viridis. RNAcentral's name for it is "long non-coding RNA (SVIR_LNC005676)". Lineage: Eukaryota; Viridiplantae; Streptophyta; Magnoliopsida; Poales; Poaceae. The record is from RNAcentral.
AAAAGAGAGAUCAAAAUAGCGACUGAAAUCUGCCAAGAUUCCGAACAUUACAAUUACUUCAUGACAAAUCAAGUUCAGGCUUGCGACAAGUUCUUCGAUACAAGAGGGGUACUAACUCGAGGUUAACCUAUUACAUCACCAUCCAAAACAUAGGUUGCCGAGGAGUAAAAAAAAGAGACAGACUCAAAACAACAAACACCUAAAAGUCAUCUAAGUGCCCACGGAGGCAGCGCUGUGCGCCGGAGAAGGAGCGUCACCAACUCGGGGCGGAGACUGAACGCCCUCAAAGUCCAUACUCGAGACACCCUUGAUCUCCUUGGGGUCUUCCUCCUCCUCCUCCAUCGGCUCAUUCUCCUCCUGUUGCUCAAGCGCGUGAAUCGCAUUUAACUCGGCAUGGUGCUCGUCCAAGUGCGCGUUGGCAACAGUCAACUCCAUCUCAACAUCCAACUUCUCCUCUGCGAGUACCUGCAUGUCAUGCUCCAUAUCUGCUACUUCCCCUUCUAGCUCGGUGAUCCGUGUCUCCAUAUUAGAAAUCCGU